GGUUAUUUCGACGAGAUUGUGGGUUCUCUAUAUUGCUUACUCAGACAGGGAUAAUAACAGAAUACAACUGUGUGUGUGUUUAUAGUUUCAAUUGAAGAAGCCCUUAAGGACGAUCAGGAGGAGAUUAAUGGUGAUUGCAUCUCCAGAGCCUGUUUGUUCCGUAAUGAACUUGGCACUACCUCAACGGCAGCUAGAUGUCAAGGAACAUGGAAGGGACCGGAGGUGGAAGAAGAGGAAGAGGAGGGCAGCCCUGACAGAGAACACAAGCUUAACCUCAGGGUGAUAGUUGGAAAGCCACUCACUCACAUUGGUAGGCAGAAGAUCUGAGCCUGUUCUGGCCCUUACACUUUAAAUAAUAUGCUGUUUACUAGUGGCAGCUGGGUAUAUCUGCCUAUAUGACAGGUAGGCAUUCAUGUGAAAAUUCCAAGUAACUUUUUGUCCUCUUUGACUUGGUUUAAUAAAAGAUUUUAUUCCACAAGUUGGUAAUGAUCGUUCAUCAAAUUGUCUGUUCUGUACCUCUGACAGAAGAGCCUAUUAGAGAAAUGUGGAAAACAUGUCAACCUCCAAUCCAAACA
This 575-nucleotide long non-coding RNA is filed under the name Rattus norvegicus (Norway rat). RNAcentral's name for it is "long non-coding RNA NONRATT033980". Lineage: Eukaryota; Metazoa; Chordata; Mammalia; Rodentia; Muridae. The record is from RNAcentral.